This is a long non-coding RNA of Folsomia candida, 2700 nucleotides long. RefSeq lists it as uncharacterized. NCBI's taxonomy places the organism in Eukaryota, Metazoa, Arthropoda, Collembola, Entomobryomorpha, Isotomidae. The record is from RefSeq and is a predicted model, not a curated record. The transcript is spliced from 5 exons.
UGAUAUUAGGUCCUCAUUCAUAAUCCAUUGUUGUGGGUUGAGUAAUUGAGCAGAAUGCAUUAUGAGAGAUGAAAGGGACCAAUUGGCUGAUUGCCUCCUCAUCAUUCGACGCAAGGUAUUGGUAAUGGUUGCAUUGUUGUUAUGUGAUCGUCUACGUUUUCCAUUCUCUUAGAUUAGAGCUGCACUUCCUUUCUAUUCCACCGACGACGUCGACGACGAAGACUUACCUGCACUCUUUACCUGCUAGACCUUCACUCUAUACAAACCUGAGAUUAUUUAUUAUCUUUAUUAGUUGUUGUUACAGAUAGGAUGUGGCAAUUGAAGGUUGUUGUGAGGUCUGAACGCUGACCGACUGGAGUGGACCUUGAAGAAUCGUAGUCAUCAAUUCAUUUAUCGGUGAUGAGGGAUGAAAAGGGAACGCCGCCGCCGCCGCCGAAAGAGAUCCGAAUAUUAUCCAGUUCCUCUCCUGCGUUUGAAUGAUGGGAUACAUUUCAUGUGAUGAAACCAUGACUAACACAUUCCGCUUUUGACUACUUAUUACAGAUCGUGAAGGGGUAGGUAUGGGUUAUCUUUUGAUAUGUGUAAGGCUCCAGUCGCAUCAUCCCAGCCACGCAUAGCAUAAACUGUUGUAAACAGUUUCAUCGUUGCGUUGGCUUCGAAAGGUGAAUGAUUACGAUUAGUUAUGCAUAACCCUUUUGUUCUUUGGAUGCAAGAGGAACGAAUCGAGGUGACUUAAAAUGGAGCUGAAAUUGCCGAAACCCGCACCAAUUAUUUGCCUCUUCUUUAGAUGGAAAUGCAUAGAUAGUGAUAUUUAAGAAGGGUGGAAUACGUACGUAUCAUGAUUUCAUAAGCUGUUACUUCCUCCCCUACCUGAAUACUUAAUAAUGCUUGACCUAUCAUCACUAAAAUUAUAUUCUACCCAUUUUCCAUUCUAAAAUCAUCACUCUAAACUGAAAAAGCUUCUGAACAUUUGUGGAAGAGCCUUAAGAUUUAAAUUUUAAAUUGGUUUUAGAUCCCGAUAACCAUCAAUUUUGGAUUUAAUCCAUAUUUUCUUACAGCUCAAGGGCCCUUCGUUUAUCUGUAAUGAUAGCCAUCGCGUGACGUGGGAGAAAAGAGAACCCUUAAGAUAUUUGCCCAACUACUUCAACGCACUGUUAUUACUUGUGGCUUGCGUUAAAUCACAUUUAUUACCUCCCUGAAUUAACGUGUGUGUGGUAUUUAUUUCAUUGUUACGUCCGAAUAUGGUGUAGAUCGUGGUGAAAGGAAAAGAAGACGGAUGUUGAGUAUUAUUAAGUGACUAAUGUGUUAAUACGUCCAUUUCCCACCCGGCAUUCGCAACCUGGUUAGAGACUCGGCUCAAAAUAGAUAGUCAUGAUUUUUACGGAAACAUUGACCGCAAUAAUUUUAGUAUUCAGAACAAGAACGUAAGUAUUUAGUUCGACAUCUUGGUUCGUGUUGCAUCUUUCGACUUCCUUACACAAAACUGCAUCACGCAUGCACCUCUCUCAAGUCACUCUUUCUUAAGAAGAAGAAAAUUCAUGACGGGUUUCUGUAAUUAUCGUCAUUUAGAACAUUUUAUCUCUGUCCGUGUGUGUACUUCAAACAUAUUUGUGCCACACACCACUCCAAAAAUAAAGGAGACGAGAGGCUUCAACUAAUUAUCACUGUAUGCAGCGAGUUGAAUGGUCACUAAAAAAAGAAGUGCAGCUGCAGUUUGUUUCAUUUUACAAGCCUCAAAAUUUCCGUCCCGAUUAAUGCAAUUAUAUUUAAGAAUUUUUCUAAUGCGAACUUUCCCCUCCAGCUCUAACUAAAUUAACAAGUUGGGCAUAUCCACUGUACUAAAUAUUCAUCCAAUGUGUAAAUAACGCAGACUGGAAUUUCUCCAGAGGCGGUUGAUAAAGUAAUUCAUAUUUGAUGUGUAUUUGUUGUUCGUGGGCAUUCCCCAAGCUCCCAGAAAUUCUAGUCCGCUUCAUUCUUCGUCUUAUUCAUUCCUUGUGAUAUGCGAAAGAGCUGGGAGGAAAAAGCAAUAUUUUAUGAGUUAUGAGACUGAUGGGUCAUACUCAAUCAUUUCGUCGAUACCAUCAUCACAUGAGCGUAUGAUUGAGCUCUGGUUUAUUCUUCCCUGAUGGAUACAAAUGGACGAUCGUUUAUCUUUAUUUUUCGAAAUCCCUUGAUUAAAUUAGACGGAGACGGAUGAACCUGGAGAGAGAGAAAGAGUUGUGGUUAGCGUUGCCGGUAGCUGAUCCGACCAAUCCUCUGCAUUAUUAAAGAGAUCUCGGAGCUUGUUGUGGGGUUCAAGUCAGUCACUCGAACGAACGCAGUAAACAAACAAGAAGCGUAUUAUGCAUACCUGGUGCACCGUAUCGCUCAACCCGUGAUAAAUCAACAAGAACUAUGUAGAACUCGUACAAAGAUGUUCCAGAGAAGCUUGUGUACAUGUAGAAAAUUCUACUCCGACUCCAGCAUGCCCCACUCUUUUGGAACAGGAAAAAGGGCUACAUUAAUUUAAAUUAUGAUCAAUCCUGACCCGCCCUUUUACUUAUUUGUGAAGAUGGGAAGAAGUAAGUAAGUAAACGUAACGUAGUAGUACGUUUUUCAAACAUUUAUGGUUAUGACACUAAUGUGCAUAGCUUUAGUUAUGAAUUUAUCAAGUUGCUGUAGUUCUUGUAGAACAAGAGGAUGCGGGUAAAAACAACAAAC